RNAcentral lists this ribosomal RNA (515 nucleotides) under uncultured bacterium. Its description in RNAcentral is "bacterial SSU rRNA". It matches the Rfam family "Bacterial small subunit ribosomal RNA", at positions 50 to 611 of the family's 1533-position model. The record is from RNAcentral.
UACACAUGCAAGUCGAACGGAACUUCGGGUUUAGUGGCGGACGGGUGAGUAACGCGUGAGAAUCUGCCUCUAGGUCGGGGACAACAACUGGAAACGGUUGCUAAUACCCGAUGUGCAGCAAUGUGAAAGAUUUAUUGCCUAGAGAUGAGCUCGCGUCUGAUUAGCUAGUAGGUGUGGUAAUGGCGCACCUAGGCGACGAUCAGUAACUGGUCUGAGAGGAUGACCAGUCACACUGGGACUGAGACACGGNCCAGACUCCUACGGGAGGCAGCAGUGGGGAAUUUUCCGCAAUGGGCGAAAGCCUGACGGAGCAAUACCGCGUGAGGGACGAAGGCUUUUGGGUCGUAAACCUCUUUUUCCUGAGAAGAAGAUCUGACGGUAUCAGGCGAAUCAGCAUCGGCUAACCUCGUGCCAGCAGCCGCGGUAAUACGAGGGAUGCAAGCGUUAUCCGGAAUUAUUGGGCGUAAAGCGUCCGCAGGUGGCUCUGUAAGUCUGUCGUUAAAGAAUGGGGCUCA